RNAcentral lists this ribosomal RNA (497 nucleotides) under uncultured bacterium. RNAcentral's name for it is "bacterial SSU rRNA". It matches the Rfam family "Bacterial small subunit ribosomal RNA", at positions 352 to 859 of the family's 1533-position model. The record is from RNAcentral.
CAGUGGGGAAUAUUGCACAAUGGGCGCAAGCCUGAUGCAGCAACGCCGCGUGAGGGAUGACGGCCUUCGGGUUGUAAACCUCUUUUAGUAGGGAAGAAGCGAAAGUGACGGUACCUGCAGAAAAAGCACCGGCUAACUACGUGCCAGCAGCCGCGGUAAUACGUAGGGUGCAAGCGUUGUCCGGAAUUAUUGGGCGUAAAGAGCUCGUAGGCGGUUUGUCGCGUCUGCUGUGAAAUCCCGAGGCUCAACCUCGGGCCUGCAGUGGGUACGGGCAAACUAGAGUGUGGUAGGGGAGAUUGGAACUCCUGGUGUAGCGGUGGAAUGCGCAGAUAUCAGGAAGAACACCGAUGGCGAAGGCAGAUCUCUGGGCCAUUACUGACGCUGAGGAGCGAAAGCGUGGGGAGCGAACAGGAUUAGAUACCCUGGUAGUCCACGCCGUAAACGUUGGGAACUAGAUGUAGGGUCCAUUCCACGGAUUCUGUGUCGCAGCUAACGCA